GAGUUUGAUCCGUGGCUCAGAUUGAACCGCUGGUGGCAGGCCUAACACAUGCAAGUCGAGCGGCAUCGAGUGAGCGCAGUUUACUGAGUUCAUGUCGGCGAGCGGCGGACGGGUGAGUAAAGUCUGGGAAUCUGGCCGAAGGAGGGGGAUAACUGCUGGAAACGGCAGCUAAUACCGCAUGAAGUCGCGAGACCAAAGUGGGGGACCUUCUGGCCUCACGCCUUCGGAUGAGCCCAGAUGAGAUUAGCUGGUAGGUAAGGUAAAGGCUUACCUAGGCGACGAUCUCUAGCGGGUCUGAGAGGAUAGCCCGCCACACUGGAACUGAGACACGGUCCAGACUCCUACGGGAGGCAGCAGUGGGGAAUAUUGCACAAUGGGCGAAAGCCUGAUGCAGCCAUGCCACGUGUGUGAAGAAGGCCU
RNAcentral lists this ribosomal RNA (420 nucleotides) under Candidatus Williamhamiltonella defendens. RNAcentral describes it as "bacterial SSU rRNA". It matches the Rfam family "Bacterial small subunit ribosomal RNA", at positions 9 to 417 of the family's 1533-position model. Lineage: Bacteria; Pseudomonadati; Pseudomonadota; Gammaproteobacteria; Enterobacterales; Enterobacteriaceae. The record is from RNAcentral.